AGAGUCCUGAUGUGUACGUUCUUUAACCUAUAAGUUUUGACCGAACACUUAUAGUUACGGGAGCCCCUAGUUUCCAGGCUGCGUAAAAGCCUUCCCUCGAGGAGGACUUACAGAAGCCCAGAACCGAGCACCCACCUGCGGAGAGCGGGUUCAAAACGAAGGCGUAAACGGCACAAUCGGGACUCUU
This is a non-coding RNA of 187 nucleotides. It matches the Rfam family "6S / SsrS RNA". From Rfam's summary of the family: E. coli 6S RNA was the first non coding RNA to be sequenced, but its function was unknown until recently. It consists of 184 nucleotides that fold into an extended hairpin structure with a large single-stranded internal bulge. The record is from Rfam.